This 273-nucleotide ribosomal RNA is filed under the name uncultured bacterium. RNAcentral describes it as "partial 16S ribosomal RNA". It matches the Rfam family "Bacterial small subunit ribosomal RNA", at positions 524 to 796 of the family's 1533-position model. The record is from RNAcentral.
UACGGAGGGGGUUAGCGUUGUUCGGAAUUACUGGGCGUAAAGCGCACGUAGGCGGAUCAGAAAGUUGGGGGUGAAAUCCCGGGGCUCAACCCCGGAACUGCCUUUGAUACUGGUAGUCUUGAGUUCGAGAGAGGUAAGUGGAAUUCCGAGUGUAGAGGUGAAAUUCGUAGAUAUUCGGAGGAACACCAGUGGCGAAGGCGGCUUACUGGCUCGAUACUGACGCUGAGGUGCGAAAGUGUGGGGAGCAAACAGGAUUAGAUACCCCUGUAGUCC